GUGCGGUCAUAAAAAGCGAAAUUUUUUGAACGUUGGCUAUGUCAACGAAGCCGUCAGGAGCGAGCAAAUUUGUUUACAAAACUGCGAAUAAUUUUUUAAAAG
This 102-nucleotide non-coding RNA is filed under the name [Mannheimia] succiniciproducens MBEL55E. Its description in RNAcentral is "Mannheimia succiniciproducens MBEL55E Aggregatibacter sRNA 22". It matches the Rfam family "Aggregatibacter sRNA 22". Lineage: Bacteria; Pseudomonadati; Pseudomonadota; Gammaproteobacteria; Pasteurellales; Pasteurellaceae. The record is from Rfam by way of RNAcentral.